This is a long non-coding RNA of Harpia harpyja (harpy eagle), 228 nucleotides long. RefSeq lists it as uncharacterized. The transcript is spliced from 2 exons. NCBI's taxonomy places the organism in Eukaryota, Metazoa, Chordata, Aves, Accipitriformes, Accipitridae. The record is from RefSeq and is a predicted model, not a curated record.
AAAAAGAAGCAGAAAAAGGAACAUGAAACUGUAAAAUAUGGAGAGCCCUCCCAUUGAGUCACAAGGUUCAGAGUGGACCCCCUUGCUUUCUGGACUCCUUCUCAAAGAGGAGCCCAGGGGCAGCUGGAUCCACUCCUAGUCCCAGACUUGGUCAACGGUUUAUGUUUAAAAGGAUGAGGUGUAGGGACUGUGGAAAAGAGAGAAGAAAAAGAGGGGGAGAGAGAGAGA